ACGGGUGAGUAAUGUGUCGGAACGUGCCUAGUAGCGGGGGAUAACUACGCGAAAGCGUAGCUAAUACCGCAUACGCCCUACGGGGGAAAGCAGGGGAUCGCAAGACCUUGCACUAUUAGAGCGGCCGAUAUCGGAUUAGCUAGUUGGUGGGGUAAUGGCUCACCAAGGCGACGAUCCGUAGCUGGUUUGAGAGGACGACCAGCCACACUGGGACUGAGACACGGCCCAGACUCCUACGGGAGGCAGCAGUGGGGAAUUUUGGACAAUGGGGGAAACCCUGAUCCAGCCAUCCCGCGUGUGCGAUGAAGGCCUUCGGGUUGUAAAGCACUUUUGGCAGGAAAGAAACGUCAUGGGCUAAUACCCCGUGAAACUGACGGUACCUGCAGAAUAAGCACCGGCUAACUACGUGCCAGCAGCCGCGGUAAUACGUAGGGUGCAAGCGUUAAUCGGAAUUACUGGGCGUAAAGCGUGCGCAGGCGGUUCGGAAAGAAAGAUGUGAAAUCCCAGAGCUUAACUUUGGAACUGCAUUUUUAACUACCGGGCUAGAGUGUGUCAGAGGGAGGUGGAAUUCCGCGU
Molecule: ribosomal RNA, 576 nt
Filed under: uncultured bacterium
Lineage: Bacteria
Description: bacterial SSU rRNA
Rfam family: Bacterial small subunit ribosomal RNA
Source: RNAcentral